Molecule: long non-coding RNA, 575 nt
Organism: Oncorhynchus nerka (sockeye salmon)
Lineage: Eukaryota; Metazoa; Chordata; Actinopteri; Salmoniformes; Salmonidae
Exons: 3
Source: RefSeq, a predicted model, not a curated record
AUGACCACAGGCCCACCUGGAAGAGAUGGGUAGAUUAUAUUUCAACCUUGGUUGUUUAUAUUUGAACAGUGCAUCAUAUAGAUUUCAGUACCUUGAGUUAAAGAAUGCUGCAAUAUUAUUUUAGUCUUUCUAACUUUAGAUAGUAGCCUAUGUUGAACUUUAGAAACGCCGUGGAACUAAUUGACCAACAUCAGUGAGUCCGCGCGGAUUAAUUGUAUCUUUGUUGGACGUCGGAUAUUAUUCCUGUUGGCACCAGUUGAAAACCGAGACCCCAACCAUUGUGAGCGCGGGCUGAAAAAGCCCACGUCCUUUCUGGAGAUGAAAAGCGAGAACCAGAGUAGACAGACCAAGCAUAAUGUACAGAAUAAGUCCAAGAGUCCAAAAGUCACCAGAAGACUGAAAAGGUGCCUUUGGCUUUUCCCACCUCUUGACUUGGAGGAGGAUGCAGCUACGGUCCCUGUGUCUGACUCCACCAGAGAACCACCAGAGACCAGGAUGUCAAAGAAGAAGAAGACUUUCCCCAGACUACCUGUCACACAGGAUGCAGAGAAGUUUCAUGAUGGCCCAACUAACAC